UAGAAACUGCCUCUGGAUUCCUGUCAAAGAACAGCUCUGGUUGGGUGCUUGGGCUCCGGGCUGAAUCACAAAUACCCAAGAACCCCAUGCUGCAGCCUGGCUGACUUCACGCAGCUCUGGCAUGUGGGACACACCAUCAGAGUCGCCUGGGCCCCAACUAACCAGCCCUGGAGCUAAAUAACCACCAUAGACCUUAUUCCCAGAGGUCUGGGUGAGCCCUGGCACCACAGAAGACCCCUGACCUCCACCUCGGGCCAGGUGAGGCUUGUUGGGUGGGUCUUGUCCAAAAAUAGGGAGUAGCUCAGAUUCUUUCAGAGCCAAAGUAACAAAUGACAAGAGAGGUGCCAAGAAUGUAAAAAUCCAGUGACUACCGUGGACAUAAAACUGCUCAGCUUCA
RNAcentral lists this long non-coding RNA (397 nucleotides) under Canis lupus familiaris (dog). RNAcentral describes it as "lncRNA (ENSCAFG00000055379.1)". Lineage: Eukaryota; Metazoa; Chordata; Mammalia; Carnivora; Canidae. The record is from RNAcentral.